Molecule: ribosomal RNA, 500 nt
Filed under: uncultured bacterium
Lineage: Bacteria
Description: partial 16S ribosomal RNA
Rfam family: Bacterial small subunit ribosomal RNA
Source: RNAcentral
AUUGAACGCUGGCGGCAUGCCUUACACAUGCAAGUCGAACGGCAGCACGGGAGCAAUCCUGGUGGCGAGUGGCGAACGGGUGAGUAAAGUAUCGGAACGUGCCCAGUCGUGGGGGAUAACGUAGCGAAAGUUACGCUAAUACCGCAUACGACCUAUGGGUGAAAGCGGGGGAUCGCAAGACCUCGCGCGAUUGGAGCGGCCGAUAUCAGAUUAGGUAGUUGGUGGGGUAAAGGCUCACCAAACCGACGAUCUGUAGCUGGUCUGAGAGGACGACCAGCCCCACUGGGACUGAGACACGGCCCAGACUCCUACGGGAGGCAGCAGUGGGGAAUUUUGGACAAUGGGCGAAAGCCUGAUCCAGCCAUGCCGCGUGCAGGAUGAAGGCCUUCGGGUUGUAAACUGCUUUUGUACGGAACGAAAAGGUUUGGCCUAAUAAGCUGAGCUCAUGACGGUACCGUAAGAAUAAGCACCGGCUAACUACGUGCCAGCCGCCGCAGUAA